UCCCUGGUAGCUCAGUUGGUAAAGAAUCUGCCUGCACUGCAGGAGACCCAGGUUCGAUCCCUGGGUUGGGAA
Molecule: transfer RNA, 72 nt
Filed under: Ovis aries (sheep)
Lineage: Eukaryota; Metazoa; Chordata; Mammalia; Artiodactyla; Bovidae
Rfam family: tRNA
About the family: Transfer RNA (tRNA) molecules are approximately 80 nucleotides in length. Their secondary structure includes four short double-helical elements and three loops (D, anti-codon, and T loops).
Source: Rfam by way of RNAcentral